GGUUAAGCGACUAAGCGUACACGGUGGAUGCCCUGGCAGUCAGAGGCGAUGAAGGACGUGCUAAUCUGCGAUAAGCGUCGGUAAGGUGAUAUGAACCGUUAUAACCGGCGAUUUCCGAAUGGGGAAACCCAGUGUGUUUCGACACACUAUCAUUAACUGAAUCCAUAGGUUAAUGAGGCGAACCGGGGGAACUGAAACAUCUAAGUACCCCGAGGAAAAGAAAUCAACCGAGAUUCCCCCAGUAGCGGCGAGCGAACGGGGAGCAGCCCAGAGCCUGAAUCAGUGUGUGUGUUAGUGGAAGCGUCUGGAAAGGCGCGCGAUACAGGGUGACA
This 332-nucleotide ribosomal RNA is filed under the name Escherichia coli. Its description in RNAcentral is "partial 23S ribosomal RNA". It matches the Rfam family "Bacterial large subunit ribosomal RNA", at positions 1 to 369 of the family's 2925-position model. The record is from RNAcentral. Lineage: Bacteria; Pseudomonadati; Pseudomonadota; Gammaproteobacteria; Enterobacterales; Enterobacteriaceae.